This 253-nucleotide ribosomal RNA is filed under the name uncultured bacterium. RNAcentral's name for it is "partial 16S ribosomal RNA". It matches the Rfam family "Bacterial small subunit ribosomal RNA", at positions 524 to 776 of the family's 1533-position model. The record is from RNAcentral.
GACAGAGGUGCCAAGCGUUAGGCGGAAUCACUGGGCUUAAAGCGUGUGUAGGCGGGUCGUUAAGUACCUUGUGAAAUCCUGCGGCUCAACCGCAGAACUGCUUGGUAUACUGGGUCGCUUGAGCCAUCCAGGGGCAACUGGAACAAGCGGUGGAGCGGUGAAAUGCGUAGAUAUCAGGAGGAACACCUGUGGUGUAGACGGCUUUCUGGACCAUAGCUGACGCUGAGACACGAAAGCGUGGGUAGCAAACAGG